This 497-nucleotide ribosomal RNA is filed under the name uncultured bacterium. RNAcentral describes it as "partial 16S ribosomal RNA". It matches the Rfam family "Bacterial small subunit ribosomal RNA", at positions 28 to 507 of the family's 1533-position model. The record is from RNAcentral.
GAUGAACGCUGGCGGCGUGCCUAAUACAUGCAAGUCGAGCGAACAGACGAGGCGCUUGCUCCUCUGAUGUUAGCGGCGGACGGGUGAGUAACACGUGGAUAACCUACCUAUCAGUCUGGGAUAACUUCGGGAAACCGGCGCUAAUACCGGAUAACAUGUUGAACCGCAUGGUUCAACAGUGAAAGACGGUUUUGCUGUCACUUAUAGAUGGAUCCGCGCCGCAUUAGCUAGUUGGUAAGGUAACGGCUUACCAAGGCAACCAUGCGUAGCCGACCUGAGAGGGUGAUCGGCCACACUGGAACUGAGACACGGUCCAGACUCCUACGGGAGGCAGCAGUAGGGAAUCUUCCGCAAUGGGCGAAAGCCUGACGGAGCAACGCCGCGUGAGUGAAGAAGGUCUUCGGAUCGUAAAACUCUGUUAUUAGGGAAGAACAAAUGUGUAAGUAACUAUGCACGUCUUGACGGUACCUAAUCAGAAAGCCACGGCUAACUACGUG